UACGGAGGGGGCUAGCGUUAUUCGGAAUUACUGGGCGUAAAGCGCGCGUAGGCGGUUUUUCAAGUCAGAGGUGAAAGCCCGGAGCUCAACUCCGGAAUUGCCUUUGAAACUGGAUCACUAGAAUCAUGGAGAGGUCAGUGGAAUUCCGAGUGUAGAGGUGAAAUUCGUAGAUAUUCGGAAGAACACCAGUGGCGAAGGCGACUGACUGGACAUGUAUUGACGCUGAGGUGCGAAAGCGUGGGGAGCAAACAGG
Molecule: ribosomal RNA, 253 nt
Filed under: uncultured bacterium
Lineage: Bacteria
Also listed under: 3 other names
Description: partial 16S ribosomal RNA
Rfam family: Bacterial small subunit ribosomal RNA
Source: RNAcentral